This 462-nucleotide ribosomal RNA is filed under the name Salmonella enterica subsp. enterica serovar Anatum. RNAcentral's name for it is "partial 23S ribosomal RNA". It matches the Rfam family "Bacterial large subunit ribosomal RNA", at positions 454 to 816 of the family's 2925-position model. The record is from RNAcentral. Lineage: Bacteria; Pseudomonadati; Pseudomonadota; Gammaproteobacteria; Enterobacterales; Enterobacteriaceae.
CAUCCUCCAAGGCUAAAUACUCCUGACUGACCGAUAGUGAACCAGUACCGUGAGGGAAAGGCGAAAAGAACCCCGGCGAGGGGAGUGAAAAAGAACCUGAAACCGUGUACGUACAAGCAGUGGGAGCCCCACCACCAAAGCAUUCUCUGGUGUUGAAGGCCCUGCAAAGCAGCAUCGCGGUGGCGGAGCGUCGUUUGCGACGCCCAACACACAAAACAAGCGGUGAGUGCUUUGGGGUGGGGUGACUGCGUACCUUUUGUAUAAUGGGUCAGCGACUUAUAUUCUGUAGCAAGGUUAACCGUAUAGGGGAGCCGUAGGGAAACCGAGUCUUAAUUGGGCGUUAAGUUGCAGGGUAUAGACCCGAAACCCGGUGAUCUAGCCAUGGGCAGGUUGAAGGUUGGGUAACACUAACUGGAGGACCGAACCGACUAAUGUUGAAAAAUUAGCGGAUGACCUGUGGCU